CACGCCCUAAACGAUGUCAACUAGGUGUUGGGUGGGUAAAACCAUUUAGUACCGUAGCUAACGCGAGAAGUUGACCGCCUGGGGAGUACGGCCGCAAGGUUAAAACUCAAAGGAAUUGAC
RNAcentral lists this ribosomal RNA (120 nucleotides) under uncultured bacterium. RNAcentral describes it as "partial 16S ribosomal RNA". It matches the Rfam family "Bacterial small subunit ribosomal RNA", at positions 796 to 914 of the family's 1533-position model. The record is from RNAcentral.